This is a non-coding RNA of Arachis ipaensis, 349 nucleotides long. Lineage: Eukaryota; Viridiplantae; Streptophyta; Magnoliopsida; Fabales; Fabaceae. The record is from RefSeq and is a predicted model, not a curated record.
UGCUUUCGAUUCCCAUCCUUUCAAUUUCUAGGGAUAUGGUUAUCACUGCGAUGUUAUUGCAGCUGUCACUGAGGUUUUCCACCAUCACCGAAGCCGCUGUGGGGACAGUUUGGAAUUACUGCCAUUGCUUCGUCUCCAUGUUUCUCCUUUGUUAAGUUCGAGUUCCAGUUGUUGUGUGUCGCGCUUAGAGUUGCAGUUGUUGCUACGGAUAGUGGAUAAAGCUGAGAUUACGGCUGCUGCUGUCGCUGGCCGAGGAGAAGGGGUUUUUGACGCAUUUUGGUUUUGCGAGUUUCGACUUUGAGGAACCGGAUGAAGAAGCAUUAAGAAGAGUUGUACUGCUUUUGGUUUA